RNAcentral lists this long non-coding RNA (1651 nucleotides) under Chrysolophus pictus (golden pheasant). RNAcentral describes it as "lncRNA (ENSCPIG00010005675.1)". Lineage: Eukaryota; Metazoa; Chordata; Aves; Galliformes; Phasianidae. The record is from RNAcentral.
GUCCGUGCGUCCGUGUGUCUGUCUGUCCGUGUGUCCAUCUGUCCGGCUGUCCGUGUGGCUGCGUGUCUGUUUGUCUGUGUGUCCAUCUGUCCGUGUGUCCAUCUGUCCGUGUGUCCCUAUGGCUGUAUGUCUGUCUGUCCAUCUGUCCGUCUGGCUUUGUGUCCAUGUGUCCGUACGGCUGUGUGUCCGUCUGUCUGUGUGUCCCUAUGGCUGUAUGUCCAUCUGUCCGUCUGUCUGUGUGUCCAUCUGUCCGUCUGUCCACGUCUCCGUGUGUCCAUCUGUCUUUGUGUCUGCAUGGCCGUGUGUCUGUCUGUCUGUCUGGCUGCCUGUCCGUGUGUGUCCAUCUGUCCGUGUGUCCGUCUGUCUGUGUGUCCGUAUGGUCGUGUGUCCGUGUGUCCGUCUGUCUGUGUGUCCCUAUGGCUGUAUGUCCGUCUGUCCGUCUGUCUGUGUGUCCAUCUGUCCGUCUGUCCAUGUCUCCAUGUGUCCAUCUGUCUUUGUGUCUGCAUGGCCGUGUGUCCGUCUGUCUGUAUGGCUUUGUGUCCAUAUGUCCAUGUGUCCGUCUGUCCAUCUGUCCGUGUGUCCGUCUGUCCAUGUGUCCGUCUGUCCAUGUGGCUGCGUGUCUGUCUGUCCGUGUGUCCAUCUGUCCGUCUGGCUUUGUGUCCAUGUGUCCGUACGGCUGUGUGUCCGUCUGUCCGUGUGUCCGUCUGUCCAUGUGUCCGUCUGUCCAUCUGUCCGUGUGUCCGUCUGUCUGUGUGUCCCUAUGGCUGUAUGUCUGUCUGUCUGUCUGUCCGCAUGGCUGUGUGCCCGUCUGUCUGUCUGUCCAUCUGUCCGUCUGUCCACGUCUCCAUGUGUCCAUCUGUCCGUGUGCCUGCAUGGCCGUGUGUCCGUCUGUCCAUGUGUCCGUCUGUCCAUCUGUCCGUGUGUCCGUCUGUCUGUGUGUCCCUAUGGCUGUAUGUCUGUCUGUCUGUCUGUCCGCAUGGCUGUGUGCCCGUCUGUCUGUCUGUCCAUCUGUCCGUCUGUCCACGUCUCCAUGUGUCCAUCUGUCCGUGUGCCUGCAUGGCCGUGUGUCCGUCUGUCCAUGUGUCCAUCUGUCUGUGUGUCUGCAUGGCCGUGUGUCCGUGUGUCCCAUGGCCAUGUGUCCACCUGUCCGUGUGUCCGUAUGGCUGUGUGUCCGUCCGUCCGUCUGUCCGUGUGUCCAUCUGUCUGUGUGUCUGCAUGGCCGUGUGUCCGUCUGUCCCUGUGUCCAUCUGUCUGUGUGUCUGCAUGGCCGUGUGUCCGUCUGUCUGUAUGGCUUUGUGUCCAUAUGUCCAUGUGUCCGUCCAUCCGUGUGUCCGUCUGUCCGUAUGGCUGUGUGUCCGUGUGUCCGUCUGUCCGUGUGUCCAUCUGUCUGUGUGCCUGCAUGGCCGUGUGUCCGUCUGUCCGUGUGUCCCUAUGGCUGUGUGUCUGUGCAUCCAUGUGUCCGUCUGUCCGUGUGUCCGUCUGUCCGUGUGUCUGCAUGGCCGUGUGUCCGUAUGGCUGUGUGUCCAUCUGUCCAUCUGUCCGUAUUGCUGCGUGUUCCUGUGUGUCCGUCUGUCCGUCUGUCUGUGUGUCCGUAUGGCUGCGUGUCUGUGUGCCUGUCUGUCCGUGUGUCCCAUGGCCAUGUGUCCAUCUG